Molecule: ribosomal RNA, 4949 nt
Filed under: Actinomycetes bacterium
Lineage: Bacteria; Bacillati; Actinomycetota; Actinomycetes
Description: bacterial LSU rRNA
Rfam family: Bacterial large subunit ribosomal RNA
Source: RNAcentral
AGGUUAAGUUAUUAAGAGCAUAUAGUGGAUGCCUUGGCAUUAGGAGCGGAAGAAGGACGCGGUUAGCUGCGAUAAGCGUCGGUGAGGUGCCAGCAACCUUUGACCCGGCGAUUUCCGAAUGGGGAAACCCAAUCAGGCAAUACCUGAUUAUUCUGCAUUUAUGUAGGAGGACAACCCAGGGAACUGAAACAUCUUAGUACCUGGAGGAAGAGAAAACAACCGUGAUUCCCUUAGUAGUGGCGAGCGAAAGGGGAACAGCCUAAACCAUUAUCGUGUUAAAGUCUGCAGACGUUGCGAUAGCGGUGUUGUGGGAGCUUCCAGCCAGACUGCAGUUUGGCAAGCCAGUUACAAAAUAAAUUGAUAGUCGAAGGAUUUGGAACAAUCCGCCACAGACGGUAAAAGCCCAGUAGGCGAAAUCAAUUUAUCUGGCGGGAGAUUUCCCGAGUAGCAUGGGACACGAGAAAUCCUGUGUGAAUCCGCCGAGACCACUCGGUAAGGCUAAAUACUCCCUAAUGACCGAUAGUGAACUAGUACCGUGAGGGAAAGGUGAAAAGUACCCCGAGAGGGGAGUGAAAUAGUACCUGAAACUGUAUGCUUACAAGCUGUUAGAGCCCUAAGUUUCUGACUUGUCGGAGACGGGGUGAUAGCGUGCCUUUUGUAGAAUGAGCCAUCGAGUUACAGUAUGUAGCAAGGUUAAGGGCAACCGAGCCGUAGCGAAAGCGAGUCUUUAAGUGGGCGAUUAGUUGCAUGCUGUAGACCCGAAGCCGAGUGAUCUAUCCAUGGCCAGGUUGAAGCCGGUGUAACAGCCGGUGGAGGACCGAACCAACUUCGGUUGAAAACGGAGUGGAUGAGCUGUGGAUCGGAGUGAAAGGCUAAUCAAACUCGGUGAUAUCUGGUUCUCCUCGAAAUAGCUUUAGGGCUAGCCUCAAGCGUUUUGUUAUGGGGGUAGAGCACUGAUUGGGCUAGGGGCCUUCACAGGUUACCAAAUCCAGUCAAACUCCGAAUACCAUAAUUUUAGAGCUUGGGAGUCAGACUGCGGGGGAUAAGCUUCGUAGUCGAAAGGGAAACAGCCCAGACCAACAGCUAAGGUCCCGAAAUUAUACCUAAGUGGCAAAGGAUGUGGAAUUGCUAAAACAGCCAGGAGGUUGGCUUAGAAGCAGCAACCCUUUAAAGAGUGCGUAACAGCUCACUGGUCGAGUGGUCCUGCGCCGAAAAUGUAACGGGGCUCAAGGUAUAUACCGAAGCUUUGGGGUUCAAGUUUUCUUGGACCGGUAGAGGAGCAUUCUUAAUUCAUUGAAGCCGUUCUGGUGACGGGCGGUGGAGGAUUAAGAAGAGAGAAUGAUGGCAUGAGUAGCGAGAUUUAGGUGAAAAACCUAAACGCCGUAAGCCUAAGGGUUCCUGGGCAAUGUUAAUCAUCCCAGGGUUAGUCGGCCCUAAGUCGAGGCAGAAAUGCGUAGACGAUGGACAGCAGGUUGAUAUUCCUGCACCACCUAUUAAGCGUUAUUACUUAAAGAGGGACGCGGUAGGGUAGAUCAUCCGUGGCGUUGGUUGUCCACGGACAAGCCUGUAGGUCCCGCCUUUGGCGGGAUUGAGAGGUUAUGUCGAGUCGCUUUUAGACGAAGUGAUUGAUCCCACACCGACGAGAAAAGCUUUUUAAGGAGUUUGUUAGGUGCCCGUACCCCAAACCGCCACAGGUAGGCGAGUAGAGGAUACUCAGGCGAUCGAGAUAACUCUGGUUAAGGAACUCGGCAAAUUAGCCCCGUAACUUCGGGAGAAGGGGUGCCUUGUUAGAGUGAAGUUCUUUACGAAUAGAGCUUGAAGAGGUUGCAGUGACCAGGCCCAAGCGACUGUUUACUAAAAACACAGGUCUCCGCUAAGUCGUAAGACGAUGUAUGGGGGCUGACGCCUGCCCGGUGCUGGAAGGUUACGAGGAGAGGUUAGCUGCUUGCAGCGAAGCUUUGAAUCUAAGCCCCAGUGAACGGCGGCCGUAACUAUAACGGUCCUAAGGUAGCGAAAUUCCUUGUCGGGUAAACAUAUUUGCCCCAUCUGAAAGUGAUUUCAGAUGAAAACCCAGCUCAUAACGGUGAAACCCUAACGAUUAUUUGCUAACAUAGUAAAUAAGGUGAGGGCGAUACCGUGGGAAGUCUAAGUGACCCCGUAACGACUUCUCGGUGAAAACCGGGAGAUAGUGAUUCUGCCUAAAAGGUAAAUCUAUAAUCACUAUAAAUGCUGGGCUCUCGUGUAAGGAGUAAGAUGGAUAUCAAAUCCUAUUUGAGUGGUUACGUAGAUGGAGAAGGUUGCUUCUGUGUUUCGUUUUCAAGAAGCACCAAGCACAAGCUUAAGUGGGAGGUUCGGCCGAGCUUUUCAGUUAGUCAAAAUUAUGAUCGUAUGGAAAUCUUGCAUCUGUUUCAAAAAGAGUUUGGAUGUGGCUUUAUUAGGCCUGAUAGGUCUGAUAAAACAUUUAAAUUUGAAGUAAGAAGCAUUGCUGAUUUAGUAAAUAAGGUUAUUCCUCAUUUUGAGAAUUACCCUAUCCAAUCAUCAAAAGCAAAAGAUUUUCAAUUAUUUGCGGUCAUAUGUAGGCUUAUUGAAAGCGGUCAACAUCUAUCUAAAGAAGGAUUUAAGGAGAUAGUUGAACUGGCUUUUAAGAUGAAUCCUUCAGGAAAAAGAAAGUACUCCAAGUAUGAGAUGAUGGUAUAGUCUACACCAUUGGAAACAAUGGAUUAAUGUGAAGUUCCGACCUGCACGAAUGGCGUAACGAUUUGGGCACUGUCUCAACCAGAGACUCGGCGAAAUUGCAAUACCGGUAAAGAUGCCGGUUACCCGCAACAGGACGGAAAGACCCCGUGAACCUUUACUGCAGCUUGGCAUUGGAUUUCGGUUCAUUCUGUACAGGAUAGGUGGGAGGCUUUGAAGCGGAAACGUCAGUUUCCGUGGAGCCAAUGUUGGGAUACCACCCUGGAUGUAUUGGAAUUCUAACCCAGCCCUUUGAACGGGCGGGAACAGUGUCAGGUGGGCAGUUUGACUGGGGCGGUCGCCUCAAUUUUUGGGGCGCUCUAGCGGCAACGUUAGAGGCAAAUCUGGCUAUAUGCUGGAAAAUCCCAUGUAUCUGGCAGUACUAAUUAGAGACUAGAGAUUAGAGGCUAGAGACUAGUUUUAUUUGGACAAAAUCGUUCGAAUGAUUGAAUCUCUAGAUUUCAAAUAGUCUUGUUCUUUAAAAGUGAAAAUCUGACCAGUGGGGACAAUCAGCAGGGAAGUCUUAAAUGACCCCUCAACGACUACACGCCAGACCCCCUGAUUUUAUCAGGGGUGAUGAUAUAGUCUGAUCUUUGCAGCGAUGCAAAGCUCCUUUUAAGGAGGUCUAGCUUGGAGGUAGUAGUGAGAAGUAGAGAAAUAGAGGAUUACAAAAAAACUCUUAAGCUUUCCAAAGAACAAAAAGAAAUUGUUUUUGGUCUGCUUUUAGGAGAUGCUCACUUAGAAACCCAAAACAGUGGAAAAACGUAUCGGCUAAAGAUUGAGCAAUCUUUCAAUCACAAGCCUUAUGUGGACCACCUGUAUCAAAUCUUUAAAGAUUGGGUGAUAACUCCUCCAAAAGAAAAGGUAGUCCAAAGUAAGGGAAAAAAGAGUAAGAAUUAUUACUUCCAAACUCUAAGCCAUGUAAGUUUUCGUUUUUAUGGUCAGCAGUUUUACAAAGAACAGAAAAAAGUUGUUCCAAAGCUGAUACAUAGGUGGUUAACAGCCAAAACAAUUGCUUAUUGGUUUAUGGAUGAUGGCUCAAUUAAGAGCAAUCAAUCUAAAGGAGUAAUAUUUAACACUCAUUCUUUUACUAGAAACGAAGUUCUUUUACUAGCUAGUCUGUUAAAACAAAAAUACGGAUUAGAAGCCAAAGAGCGGAAACAAAAAGAAGGCUACCAGAUUUAUAUCUCGGGGAAAUCUUAUGAGAGCUUUAAAGAUUUAAUUGCUCCCUACUUGAUUUCUGAAAUGGAAUAUAAAUUACCAAAACCUAGAUUAACAUAAUGCCUAAAUUGUAACGGAGGCGCACAAAGGUUCCCUCAGCACGGACGGCAAUCGUGCGUAGAGUGCAAGAGUAUAAGGGAGCUUGACUGCGAGACUUACAAGUCGAGCAGGGACGAAAGUCGGUUCUAGUGAUCCGGUGGUCCCGUGUGGAAGGGCCAUCGCUCAACGGAUAAAAGGUACUCCGGGGAUAACAGGCUUAUCACGCCCAAGAGUCCAUAUCGACGGCGUGGUUUGGCACCUCGAUGUCGGCUCAUCGCAUCCUGGGGGUGGAGCAGCUCCCAAGGGUUUGGCUGUUCGCCAAUUAAAGCGGUACGCGAGCUGGGUUUAGAACGUCGUGAGACAGUAAGGACAUUGCUGUCUAAAAAUCUGGCUAAAUGCUGGAAAGUCUGAGAAUUUGGCACUACCUAGACAUAAUCGAACGCUUGUUCUAUAAUAACAAGCGAGGUGAAAAUGUGACCAAUGCAGAUAAUCAGCAGGAAAGACUCCGGUUAAUAUCGGAGAAUCCUCAGAGACUAUACGCCAGAAAUCACUUCGGUGAAGUGAUUAAGAUAUAGUCCGAGCUGCAUGGCGACAUGCAGAGGCUGGCAGAAAUGACCAGCCCCUCUAUGAAAGUAAUAGAGAGUAACAAAACUGUCGGUCCCUAUCCGUUGCGGGCGUAAGAGAUUUGAAGGAAGCUGUCCCUAGUACGAGAGGACCGGGAUGGACGAACCUCUGGUGUACCAGUUGUUCUGCCAAGAGCAUUGCUGGGUAGCUACGUUCGGUUUGGAUAACCGCUGAAAGCAUCUAAGUGGGAAGCCAUUCCUAAGAUAAGAUCUCUUGUACCGUAAGGUAAUAAGAUCCCGUGUAGACGACACGGUUGAUAGGCCACAGGUGGAAGUGUAGUAAUACAUGCAGCCGAGUGGUACUAAUAGAUCGAAGGCUUAACCUUUUUUAUU